UGGGGAAUAUUGGGCAAUGGGCGCAAGCCUGACCCAGCCAUGCCGCGUGAGUGAUGAAGGCCUUCGGGUCGUAAAGCUCUGUGGGGAGGGACGAAACAGCCCGGUGCCAAUACCACCGGGCCUUGACGGUACCUCCUUAGCAAGCACCGGCUAACUCCGUGCCAGCAGCCGCGGUAAUACGGAGGGUGCAAACGUUGCUCGGAAUCAUUGGGCGUAAAGCGCACGUAGGCGGCCCGCUAAGUCGGAUGUGAAAGCCCAGGGCUCAACCCUGGAAGUGCAUUCGAAACUGACGGGCUUGAAUAUGGAAGAGGGUCGCGGAAUUCCCGGUGUAGAGGUGAAAUUCGUAGAUAUCGGGAGGAACACCAGUGGCGAAGGCGGCGACCUGGGCCAAUAUUGACGCUGAGGUGCGAAAGCGUGGGGAGCAAACAGGAUUAGAUACCCGCGUAGUCC
RNAcentral lists this ribosomal RNA (450 nucleotides) under uncultured bacterium. Its description in RNAcentral is "bacterial SSU rRNA". It matches the Rfam family "Bacterial small subunit ribosomal RNA", at positions 355 to 796 of the family's 1533-position model. The record is from RNAcentral.